Molecule: unclassified non-coding RNA, 331 nt
Filed under: soil metagenome
Description: partial contains 5.8S ribosomal RNA, internal transcribed spacer 2, and large subunit ribosomal RNA
Rfam family: 5.8S ribosomal RNA (bases 1-120)
Source: RNAcentral
GAUGAAGAACGUAGCGAAAUGCGAUAAGUAAUGUGAAUUGCAGAAUUCAGUGAAUCAUCGAAUCUUUGAACGCACAUUGCGCCCCCUGGUAUUCCGGGGGGCAUGCCUGUUCGAGCGUCAUUUCACCACUCAAGCCUCGCUUGGUAAUGGGCAACGCGGUCCGCCGCGUGCCUCAAAUCGACCGGCUGGGUCUUCUGUCCCCUAAGCGUUGUGGAAACUAUUCGCUAAAGGGUGUUCGGGAGGCUACGCCGUAAAACAACCCCAUUUCUAAGGUUGACCUCGGAUCAGGUAGGGAUACCCGCUGAACUUAAGCAUAUCAAUAAGCGGAGGA